RNAcentral lists this ribosomal RNA (377 nucleotides) under uncultured bacterium. RNAcentral describes it as "bacterial SSU rRNA". It matches the Rfam family "Bacterial small subunit ribosomal RNA", at positions 790 to 1167 of the family's 1533-position model. The record is from RNAcentral.
GUAGUCCACGCCGUAAACGAUGAGUGUUAGGUGUCUGGUGUUAAAACUGGGUGCCGCAGCUAACGCAUUAAACACUCCGCCUGGGGAGUACGCACGCAAGUGUGAAACUCAAAGGAAUUGACGGGGACCCGCACAAGCAGCGGAGCAUGUGGUUUAAUUCGAAGCAACGCGAAGAACCUUACCAAGUCUUGACAUAUUUCGGAGGGAAUUAGAGAUAGUUCCUUAGAGCUUCGGCUCACUGAAAUACAGGUGGUGCAUGGUUGUCGUCAGCUCGUGUCGUGAGAUGUUGGGUUAAGUCCCAUAACGAGCGCAACCCUUAUGGCUAGUUACCAUCAUUAAGUUGGGGACUCUAGCAAUACUGCCGGUGACAAACCGGA